GCGAGUAUAACUCAGUUGGUUUUAGAGUGUUAGAUUGUGGUUCUAAAAGACACGGGUUCAAAUCCCGUUAUUCGCC
RNAcentral lists this transfer RNA (76 nucleotides) under Attheya longicornis. Its description in RNAcentral is "tRNA-His". It matches the Rfam family "tRNA". Rfam says of the family: Transfer RNA (tRNA) molecules are approximately 80 nucleotides in length. Their secondary structure includes four short double-helical elements and three loops (D, anti-codon, and T loops). Further hydrogen bonds mediate the characteristic L-shaped molecular structure. tRNAs have two regions of fundamental functional importance: the anti-codon, which is responsible for specific mRNA codon recognition, and the 3' end, to which the tRNAs corresponding amino acid is attached (by aminoacyl-tRNA synthetases). tRNAs cope with the degeneracy of the genetic code in two manners: having more than one tRNA (with a specific anti-codon) for a particular amino acid; and 'wobble' base-pairing, i.e. permitting non-standard base-pairing at the 3rd anti-codon position. The record is from RNAcentral. Lineage: Eukaryota; Bacillariophyta; Biddulphiophyceae; Attheyales; Attheyaceae.